RNAcentral lists this ribosomal RNA (461 nucleotides) under uncultured bacterium. RNAcentral describes it as "bacterial SSU rRNA". It matches the Rfam family "Bacterial small subunit ribosomal RNA", at positions 339 to 796 of the family's 1533-position model. The record is from RNAcentral.
AUACGGGAGGCAGCAGUGAGGAAUAUUGCGCAAUGGACGAAAGUCUGACGCAGCCAUGCCGCGUGAAGGAUUGAAGGCCCUAUGGGUUGUAAACUUCUUUUGUAUGGGAAUAAACGCUACUACGUGUAGUAGCCUGAAGGUACCAUAAGAAUAAGCACCGGCUAACUCCGUGCCAGCAGCCGCGGUAAUACGGAGGGUGCAAGCGUUAUCCGGAUUUAUUGGGUUUAAAGGGUCCGUAGGCGGAUCGUUAAGUCAGCGGUGAAAGCCCUCUGCUCAACAGAGGAACUGCCGUUGAUACUGGCGAUCUUGAAUGUGUAUGAAGUUGGCGGAAUGUGUGGUGUAGCGGUGAAAUGCUUAGAUAUCACACAGAACACCGAUUGCGAAGGCAGCUGACUAAUACAAUAUUGACGCUGAGGGACGAAAGUGUGGGGAUCAAACAGGACUAGAUACCCGCGUAGUCC